UAUAAUAAAAUUGAGCCACAUGGUGCGGCAUCAGUGCAUUUGAAAUAGAAUUUGCCUCAAAAAAGCAAAAAGAGCUAUUAAGUCGUAAAAUGACUUUUUUUUUUUUUUUUUAAGGAAUAAUAAUUCGCACAGUGCUUUCUCAAGACAACCGCCGUCAGGAACUGCCAUCCACCUUCCCCAUCCCUUCGAAACACUGAAAAUGUAAUACCAUAUUAGUCCCCACAUUUUCAAAUUGGGAACUUACAAUAAAGACAAGUUUGAGAACUUUCUUUCACACCCUUUGGACCAUCAAUGGCGGAUAUAACAUGUUAUUGGUGAUCAAAACACUUAUCUUUUGAUACGGAUAACAACAUUCAAGAUUCUUACCUGGAGAGAGGAAAAAGGCAAUAGCGGAAUUGAGAAACAUGGUACCAUUUAGCUCUAUUAUUAAAGAAGUAUGGAAGGAUGUAUUCUUUGUUGUAAAAGCCUACUGUGUUUUACAUGUUACUGAGAACUAUCUGAUCACUCUUGUUAAGACUGAGGGUGCUAGCAUGCUACCUACAAUUGAUUCGACACCAAGCAUGUUUCUUGCUGAAAGAAUCUCACCUCGAUUUGGUAAAGUUGCUCACGGAGAUAUUGUACGUUUACGCUCUCCUCAAAACCCUAGAGAAAGCUACGGAAAGCGCGUGAUUGGAUUAGAGGGUGAUAGCAUUACAUAUAUUGCUGAUCGUGGAAACGGCUAUAAGCAUGAAACAGUUGUGGUUCCAAAGGGUCACGUUUGGGUAGAGGGUGAUAACAAAUUUAGUAGCUACGACUCUAGAAGUUUCGGUCCAGUUCCUUAUGGCCUUAUUGAGAGUAAGAUAUUCUGGAGGGUAUGGCCGCGUAAAGAUUUUGGAUCGUUCUGGAAUAAAUGAUUUGAAGCCUUCAAUAAUGAAGACAAAACAUAUUUAAAUGCUUAAGGAAAACUAUGAUAAGAGGUCCAUUAUGUAGACUUUUGAUUUAGUGGUAACAGGUAAGAUUGCUUUUUGACAAAACUUGUGACUUGGGUUUAAGCUUCGGAGUGACAGUGCAAUUUUUCCAUUCCAUUCGAUUUUUUGCAAGAUUUUCAGGCCUCUCUUUAUCAGGGCUUUAGUGGUCUGACCGUGAAAAAAAUCGAUUUUUGCAAGAUUUCCAGGCCUCUCUUUUCAAAGAACUUUCAUACCAACAACUCAAUCUAUUAUAGAAUUCAACGAUCAGGUAGCACUUUCUGUUGUUUGAGUUCACCGGGCAUUUGUCUAUGGCUGGUUGAUCCUGCAUAUAUGUACAGUUGUUCAGUUGGUUUUGCUGGAAGAACAACUUCAGCCCUUUUAGAGAAUGGUCUUGGACUAAGCAUACUGAUUUUUGCAUUGGUCACUUGAUGGUUGAAUACUUUCGCUCUUUAAUUUUUCUUACAAGGUAAUUAUUUGCUUGGUUUUAAAAAUGCAAAAUCUACACAGCUUGCUAGCAUAGUGAAAAACUAGAAAGCAUGCACGUCUCAAUGCAAUGAUAGAGUUUUCUAGCAUAGUUGAUGAUAUUGCUAAGACAACCCUAAUACGUGACCGCUAUCAUAUUGGCUCGAUAGAGGAAUUACGUCUGCUAUGUGGAUUAUCCUCAUUUAAAAGACCUACCACAAACUUGACACUGAAGCAGAGAUAAUUUGCAAUGCAUUGAUUUUCCUUUAUCGUUGUGUAGGACAGGUAUUAGUUUGAUAGAUUAAAGGGUCUGUUUGUCAUGUAUUAUGAACAAAGUAAUUUUGGUAUUCAAUAUUAAAUGCAAAUUUGAGGAUA
Molecule: RNA transcript, 1784 nt
Organism: Medicago truncatula (barrel medic)
Lineage: Eukaryota; Viridiplantae; Streptophyta; Magnoliopsida; Fabales; Fabaceae
Gene name: mitochondrial inner membrane protease subunit 1
Exons: 8
Source: RefSeq, a predicted model, not a curated record